This 270-nucleotide ribosomal RNA is filed under the name uncultured archaeon. RNAcentral describes it as "partial 16S ribosomal RNA". It matches the Rfam family "Archaeal small subunit ribosomal RNA", at positions 477 to 747 of the family's 1478-position model. The record is from RNAcentral.
CUGCAGCUCAAGUGGUGACCAUUAUUAUUGGGCCUAAAACGUUCGUAGCCUGCUAAGUAAAUGCCUGGGUAAAUCGUGUAGCUUAACUAUACGAAUUCCGGGUAGACUGCUAAGCUUGAGACCGGGAGAGGCUAGAGGUACUCCUGGGGUAGAGGUGAAAUUCUGUAAUCCUAGGGGGACCACCAGUGGCGAAGGCGUCUAGCUAGAACGGGUCUGACGGUGAGGGACGAAGCCCUGGGGCACAAACCGGAUUAGAUACCCGAGUAGUCC